UGAGCAAUCUGCCCUUCUCAUCGGAAUAAGCGUUGGAAACGACGUCUAAUGCCGAAUACGACCUCCUUUCGCAUGAUCGGAGGUGGAAAGCUCCGGCGGAGAAGGAUGAGCUCGCGGCCUAUCAGCUAGUUGGUGUGGGUAAUGGCCCACCAAGGCGACGACGGGUAGCCGGCCUGAGAGGAUGACCGGCCACACGUGGGACUGAGACNCGGCCCAGACUCCGUAGGA
This 228-nucleotide ribosomal RNA is filed under the name uncultured bacterium. RNAcentral's name for it is "partial 16S ribosomal RNA". It matches the Rfam family "Bacterial small subunit ribosomal RNA", at positions 118 to 346 of the family's 1533-position model. The record is from RNAcentral.